AAUUGACUAAUCAUGAAGAUGAAUGAUCUGGUAUUAUAAAAGAUUUUACUUCCAUAACUAAUUCAAAGCAUACACUAGUGAUAGAAGCAAAAUCAAAUAACACCAACAAACAAAUUAUGUUUAAUCUAAAGUCAGUCAUCAUAUUUAAAAAAACAUCCACAAAAAAAAUGAUAAUAAAAAGCAAAGUUUUGGGUCUCAGUCAUGUUCAAAAAGUUUGCAAAGUCUUUUUUUUUUUUUUUUUUUUUUGCUUGUUCUAAUAAAAUGAUCAACCUUUUCUUACUCCACCCAUUUGUUUGCUUCUAAUUCACCAGAAAUGCUUCGGGCAGCCAUUUACACCACCGAAGAACGCCAUCUGCUCCUCGUUGUCGGCGUUCGCCGGGAACGUCGUAUUAGCCCCCUCCGCCUGGUGGAAUUGGCCGCCCCCUUCUUCUUGUAGCCGCAGCAGAUUCAUUGUGACCCCAUCAUCGAACACUUCCUCGUUCUGCCUCAUCACCGCAGAGCGCGCCAUUGGACGCGGAGGUAGAGACACCGUUUCAGCGGGCUUCAUCAUGCUCUGCCCUCCUAUUUCCAUCAUUCGCCCACUGCUUGGCCCGAUGUUGCCGGACAAAGGAUACGGAUUCACAAGCGAUUGAAUUGGAUUACCUGUAGGAAAAUUUCCGGACGCCAUGGUCGAGUCGGGGAAGUAAUUCACGAAGCCAGCGGGCGCCUUGCCCUUCUGCCAAGAGUAGGAGUCGGUGCUAUCCGCGAAAUUGCGGAAGUAGGAAGUCACCGGUGAGUUGUUCGACGAAAUGUUACCGUAUUCCGGGCGGUAGAUCGAGAAGGCACUCCUGCUCAGGUUGCUGUGAUCGUUCUCCUGCGUGUGAUGUGAGAAUGAAUUUAUGUUUCCAGGCACGGGUUUUAGAUUCGGAAGUGAGGUGAGGAAGCUUGGCUCGGGGGCUGGCGGCAGCAUAUGCUCUUGUUGCUGAGUCUGGAAGAGAUUCGUCGGUGUCUUCAUCACCAGGCCGGAGAAGUACGAGGGCAAGGGAGCGAUUGCGGUGGAAUUUAUCAACCCCGCCUUCUGCAGCAAGGUUGACCCGGAUGAGGAUCCGGAGAGCACUGGAGCUUGGAAUUGCUGGCUUGUGUUGUUGUUCAUGAAAGAUAAGCUUCCGAGCAUUGGGAUGGCGGUGCUGGGGUUACUCUUCUGCCCAGUCUCAGUUAGGGAGGCCGAUGUGUUAUCCAAGAAAUCAUUUUUAGCUGUGGAAUUUGCUUGGACAGAUGCCUUUUCCCCUGUUCCAUAGAGACACAUGUUUGUCAAAGAACGAUUUGUCGACCCAAAUCCAGCCGAUUUCUCUGUCGAAUUCAUCAAGGAAAAGGAAGAACCCAGACAGAAAUCGAUGGCCGAGCCAUUCUCUACUCUCAAUCCGUCGAGCGACGAAGCUGGCGUCGGCAGCACUGAAUGGCUGGCCCCAGACAGAGGCGACGGCGCUGUACCACCAACCACGCCGCCAAAGAUCUCGUCAUACGGACCGUUCAACAGAUCGGUAAGGCGCAUAGCGAGCAAGUCAGGGUCAUCGGGCAGCAAGGACAGGAAGUUGUUCAUCUGCUCGCGGGUGUCUGGGACGUCUGGAUUGUAGUUAGCCAUGGUCGGUAGACUCACACUCGGAUGCUGCUCCGCCAUUGUUGCCUCACCCAGUGGAGCCACCUCAUCAUUAGCGACAUCGACAGGGUACUCCACCUGCUCGUUCAUAUCUGGCAGGCCAGAGUUCUCAUUAAAGGCAUAGCGUGCGUUGCUCGAUUCUCCGGCAUCCAUCAGGUUUGGCACAUUGUCACCCUCCUCCGAAGGCUCGCUGCACAACGCGAUAUGCGCCUCGUAGCUGUUCUUCCUGGAGAAUGUGUCGCUGCACUUGCACCGAUACUGGUGGAGAGAGUGGUUCUUGAUGUGGGCCUUGAGGUCCGCCUCGACUGCGUAGGUCUUGGUGCAAUGUGGGCAUUUCAGGUUCUUGGGUCCGUGCUUACGGUUGAAGUGUUUCUUGAUGCCGGUGAUGUCACUGAGUGCGCGGGAGCUGUGGCUGUAGACGCAGGACGGGAUGGGGCAGACGUAGGCCUUGCGGCGCACUGGGGUGCGGCCGGACUUCUUGAGCUCGUAGUUGAUGUUAUGAGUGCGCAUGUGGAGCUGCAGAUUCUGGUCGCGCUGGAAGCCCUUGCUGCACACUGUGCAAAUGUACCGACCGGUGGCCAACAGAUCCUCCGGCCGCAGCGCCACCACCUCUGCACUAGGAUCUGAAAAUGUUACUUUUGGGGCUUAGAAACGGCAACCUUACUUAACGAGAGGGUCAAAAGAAGACAAGAGAAAGAUGUAGGUAGAAGCACAACAAAUCAAGUUGAGUAGGCUUAAAGAGUUAUAAGGUCCGUGCUUGCGAUUGAAGUGUUUCUUGAUGCUGGUGAUGUCACUGAGUGCGUGGGAGCUGUGGCUGUAGACGCAGGACGGGAUGGGGCAGACGUAGGCCUUGCGGCGCGCUGGAGUGCGGCCGGACUUCUUGAGCUCGUAGUUGAUGUUAUGAGUGCGCAUGUGGAGCUGCAGAUUCUGGUCGCGCUGGAAGCCCUUGCCGCACACUGUGCAAAUGUACCGACCGGUGGCCAACAGAUCCUCCGGCCGCAGCGCCACCACCUCUGCACUAGGAUCUGGUAAUCCAAAAUUUUUGUUUUGCCAUCAAUUUUAGAUGAUCAUAUAGACACCACAUACGUUCACACGAAAAUGAGAAAGAUAUUAUAUGGUUCAUUACUAAAUCUAAUAUGCAGUUUGAACUUUAAAAAUCCUAAA
Molecule: RNA transcript, 2800 nt
Organism: Zingiber officinale
Lineage: Eukaryota; Viridiplantae; Streptophyta; Magnoliopsida; Zingiberales; Zingiberaceae
Exons: 3
Source: RefSeq, a predicted model, not a curated record